This is a long non-coding RNA of Mus caroli (Ryukyu mouse), 284 nucleotides long. RefSeq lists it as uncharacterized. The record is from RefSeq and is a predicted model, not a curated record. NCBI's taxonomy places the organism in Eukaryota, Metazoa, Chordata, Mammalia, Rodentia, Muridae.
CACCUGAGCACCCUUUGGCAGACAGUAGAGAAAGUUACCACCUAGGAAUGAGAGGCUAGCAUGGAAUGGGAGUCCACAACCUGAUGAGGUCAUCAGAAGAGUUCAAUGAGUCAGGACCUGUCCAGUGCCCAGUACCUGACACACGGCACCCAGCAAGGGGGAAUUCCCCCACACCAGACACGGAGGAGGCAAGGAUGCAAUCCCCGCCAGGGGCUGGGACUCCAGGCAAGGCAAGGUCCCACGCCACGCUUCUGCUCAGCCCACUUUUCCCAUAGCUGCCUUUG